AAAGCGUGCGCAGGCGGUUAUGUAAGACAGAUGUGAAAUCCCCGGGCUCAACCUGGGAACUGCAUUUGUGACUGCAUGGCUAGAGUACGGUAGAGGGGGAUGGAAUUCCGCGUGUAGCAGUGAAAUGCGUAGAUAUGCGGAGGAACACCGAUGGCGAAGGCAAUCCCCUGGACCUGUACUGACGCUCAUGCACGAAAGCGUGGGGAGCAAACAGGAUUAGAUACCCCGGU
RNAcentral lists this ribosomal RNA (230 nucleotides) under uncultured bacterium. RNAcentral's name for it is "partial 16S ribosomal RNA". It matches the Rfam family "Bacterial small subunit ribosomal RNA", at positions 562 to 791 of the family's 1533-position model. The record is from RNAcentral.